This 468-nucleotide ribosomal RNA is filed under the name uncultured bacterium. Its description in RNAcentral is "partial 16S ribosomal RNA". It matches the Rfam family "Bacterial small subunit ribosomal RNA", at positions 28 to 507 of the family's 1533-position model. The record is from RNAcentral.
GACGAACGCUGGCGGCGUGCUUAACACAUGCAAGUCGAACGGAAAGGCCCUGCUUUUGUGGGGUGCUCGAGUGGCGAACGGGUGAGUAAAACGUGAGUAACCUGCCCUUGAAUUUGGGAUAACUUCAGGAAACUGGGGCGAAUACCGGAUAGGAGCUCCUGCUGCAUGGUGGGGGUUGGAAAGAUUCGGCGGUUGGGGAUGGAAUCGCGGCUUAUCAGCUUGAUGGUGGGGUAGUGGCUUACAAAGGCUUUGACGGGUAGCCGGCCUGAGAGGGUGACCGGCCUCAUUGGUACUGAGAUACGGCCCAGACUCCUACGGGAGGCAGCAGUGGGGAAUAUUGCACAAUGGGCGGAAGCCUGAUGCAGCAACGCCGCGUGCGGGAUGACAGCCUUCGGGUUGUAAACCUCUUUCGCCUGUGACGAAGCGUGAGUGACGGUAAUGGGUAAAGAAGCACCGGCUAACUACGUG